Molecule: ribosomal RNA, 1300 nt
Filed under: metagenome
Description: bacterial LSU rRNA
Rfam family: Bacterial large subunit ribosomal RNA
Source: RNAcentral
CACACGACCGUACCGCAAACCGACACUGGUGCGCGAGAUGAGUAUUCUCAGGCGCUUGAGAGAACUCGGGAGAAGGAACUCGGCAAAUUGACACCGUAACUUCGGAAGAAGGUGUGCCUUUAGUAGGUGAAGUCCCUCGCGGAUGGAGCCCAAUGAGGUUGCAAAGAAUCGGUGGCUGCGACUGUUUAAUAAAAACACAGCACUCUGCAAACACGAAAGUGGACGUAUAGGGUGUGACGCCUGCCCGGUGCUGGAAGAUUAAGUGAUGGGGUGCAAGCUCUUGAUCGAAGUCCCAGUAAACGGCGGCCGUAACUAUAACGGUCCUAAGGUAGCGAAAUUCCUUGUCGGGUAAGUUCCGACCUGCACGAAUGGCGUAACGAUGGCCACACUGUCUCCUCCCGAGACUCAGCGAAGUUGAAAUGUUUGUGAUGAUGCAAUCUCCCCGCGGAAAGACGGAAAGACCCCAUGAACCUUUACUGUAGCUUUGUAUUGGACUUUGAACGGAUCUGUGUAGGAUAGGUGGGAGGCUUUGAAGCCGGGUCGCUAGAUCUGGUGGAGCCAACGUUGAAAUACCACCCUGGUGCGUUUGAGGUUCUAACCUAGGCCCGUUAUCCGGGCCGGGGACAGUGCAUGGUAGGCAGUUUGACUGGGGCGGUCUCCUCCCAAAGCGUAACGGAGGAGUUCGAAGGUACGCUAGUUACGGUCGGACAUCGUGACGAUAGUGCAAUGGCAUAAGCGUGCUUAACUGCGAGACUGACAAGUCGAGCAGAUGCGAAAGCAGGACAUAGUGAUCCGGUGGUUCUGUAUGGAAGGGCCAUCGCUCAACGGAUAGAAGGUACUCUGGGGAUAACAGGCUGAUACCGCCCAAGAGUUCAUAUCGACGGCGGUGUUUGUCACCUCGAUGUCGGCUCAUCUCAUCCUGGGGCUGUAGCCGGUCCCAAGGGUAUGGCUGUUCGCCAUUUAAAGAGGUACGUGAGCUGGGUUUAAAACGUCGUGAGACAGUUUGGUCCCUAUCUUCCGUGGGCGCUGCAGAUUUGAGGAAGCCUGCUCCUAGUACGAGAGGACCGGAGUGGACGCACCUCUGGUGUACCUGUUGUCACGCCAGUGGCAUUGCAGGGUAGCUAAGUGCGGAAGAGAUAACCGCUGAAAGCAUCUAAGCGGGAAACUCGUUUCAAGAUGAGAUCUGCCGGGGCCUUGAGCCCCCUGAAGAGUCGUUCUAGACCAGGACGUUGAUAGGUCAGGUGUGGAAGCGCAGUAAUGCGUUAAGCUAACUGAUACUAAUUGCUCGUGCGGCUUGACC